UGUGGCUUCAGUCUUCCAGUCUCGUCCAGUGUUUCGUCUUGCAUUUUUCCUGCCCUUGGUGUUUUGGAUUACCUGUGUUGGAUUUCUGUUUCGUUUCUCAUUUGGCUUUUUCUGGACUCAGCCACUCGGGGUAUCUAUGAGAAGAGGUGGAGACACACAGAGAAGAUUAGGAGAUGGAAGAAGAAGAAGUUGGAGUGAGCAGGAGCGUCCCCGCUGGUGGUGAGAGUAUUGUUGGCAGCUGUGCUGUUGUUGUUGCUGGUGGAGGCUGGAGAUAAGAACAUCCCCACUGUCUGAGUCAGGAAGGUACCAAAGCUGCUCACUUUGGUGAAGACCAUCACUGGAUCUGCUCGUGUUUGACUGGUGCUGUUGUUCUUAACUGACAACACUGCUGCCUGGAACCAAGAGCUGCCCUGCUUACACAUCACUGGACCGCCAGCAUCACCCUGAACAAACAAGAAAAACGGAUAUGUUCAAGUCCACCUUUAUGUGAAACUACAGAAAAUAAUGUUGUUUUCAUCAUCACUACA
This is a long non-coding RNA of Micropterus salmoides (largemouth bass), 527 nucleotides long. RefSeq lists it as uncharacterized. The transcript is spliced from 2 exons. The record is from RefSeq and is a predicted model, not a curated record. Lineage: Eukaryota; Metazoa; Chordata; Actinopteri; Centrarchiformes; Centrarchidae.